GGGGCCGUAGUCUAGUGGUUAGGACUCAAGGUUAGGGACCUUGUAACCCCGGUUCAAAUCCGGGCGGCCUCA
Molecule: transfer RNA, 72 nt
Filed under: archaeon
Lineage: Archaea
Description: tRNA-Pro
Rfam family: tRNA
About the family: Transfer RNA (tRNA) molecules are approximately 80 nucleotides in length. Their secondary structure includes four short double-helical elements and three loops (D, anti-codon, and T loops).
Source: RNAcentral